GCGACACCUGGAGGGGGUGCAGACAAGCACAAAGACAGGAGGACCAAAACGCAGCAGUUCUUGCUAUGGAGCUGCCUGCCAGGGCAUCGAGUUCUUCCACCCCCUGCUUACCACAACACCAUUGGAGAAGGUCUAUGACCUUGUACGUAGUGUAACCAAAGUAAGUCAAACAGAUCGGGCCAGAGUGUACACACUGUAACGCACAUCUCAGUCCCCUGAAUUUAUUGAGCACAUUGGUUAAUAUUUAUCCAAUGUUCCUCUUCUUCCUGUGACCCCUCUUCUCAUCGUUCUCUGGCUCCUGCUCCCCUGACUCGCUCCCCCUUUCUGCGUCCACCUCUUCUCCUACACCAUCUGCCUUCCGUCUCUUCUCCUCCCAUCAAUUCUCCUCCCUCUUCUCCCCCACCCUCUGCCUCCAUGUCUUCUACUCCACCCUCUGACUCCCUUGUUCUCUCCUCACCCUCUGUCUCCCACAUCGUCUCCUCACCCUCGGGCCUUAUUGCUUAAGUAUAGGAUGGAGUUCCUUCCUGAGUCCCGCCCCAUCUCUCCUACUGCCUUCUCAUCACCAUGGAAACGAGUCCGACUCGAGUGAAAUCAUCGUUAAUAUCAUCUUUGACUAAAUGUAUUGUCUCUCUGUAUUUCAGAUAAAUGUUUUCUUCCUUCCGCAACCCCAGCCACUGCAAUAAUAAUUAUUUAUUCUAUAUUAGUUUUGAAUAAGGAGUUGUCGGAUAACUCCUGCAUUGAUUUUUGGCUAGACAGUAGAUUUGUAAUCUUAUUCGUCACCGAAACUAUACUGAACAAAAAUCAGUAUCUGGUGUGACCACCAUUUGUCUUAUGUAGCGCGACACAUCUCCUUUGCAUAGAGUUAAUCAGGCUGUUAUUUGUGGCCUGUGGAAUGUCGUCCCUCUCCUCUUCAAUGGCUGUGUGAAGUUGCUGGAUAUUGGGAACUGGAACACGCUGUCGUACACGUCGUUCCAGAGCACCCCAAACGUGAUCAAUGGGUGACAUGUCUGGUGAGGCCAUGGAAGAACUGGGACAUUUUCAGCUUCCAGGAAUUGAGUUCAGAUCCUUGCGACACGGGGCUGUGCAUUAUCAUGCUGAAACAUGAGGUGGCGGCGGAUGAAUGGCACGACAAUGAGCCUCAGGAUCUUCUCACACCAGAUACUGAUACUUUGUGCAUUCACCUUGCCAUUGGUAAAAUGCUAUUGUGUUUCUUUGUCUGUAGGUUAUGCCUGCCCAUACCAUAACCCUACCUCUACCAUGGGGCACUCUGUUCAUAACGUUGACAUCAGCAAACCGCUCGCCCACACGAUACCAUACAUGCUUUCUGCUAUCUGCCCGGUACAGUUGAAACCGGGAUUCAUUUGUGAAGAGCACACUUCUCCAACGUGCCAGUGGCCAUCGAAGGUGAGCAUUUGUCCACUGAAGUCGGUUACGACGCCGAACUGCAGUCAGGUCAAGACUCUGGUGAGGACGACGAGCACGCAGUUUGUGCAGAGAUUCUUCAGUUUUGCAACCCACAGUUUCAUCAGCUGUCCGGGUGGCUGGUCUCAGACGAUCCCGCAGGUGAAGAAGCUGGAUGUGAAGGUCCUGGGCUGGCGUGGUUACACGUGGUCUGCAGUUGUGAGGCCAGUUGGAAGUACUACCAAAAUUCUCUAAAACAAUGUUGUUGGCUGCUUAUGGUAGAGAAAU
Salmo salar (Atlantic salmon) is the source of this 1689-nucleotide non-coding RNA. Lineage: Eukaryota; Metazoa; Chordata; Actinopteri; Salmoniformes; Salmonidae. The record is from RefSeq and is a predicted model, not a curated record.